UGGCUCAGACGGUUAGAGCAUCUGCCUACAAUGCGGGAGACCAGGGUUCGAUCCCUG
Molecule: transfer RNA, 57 nt
Filed under: Ovis aries (sheep)
Lineage: Eukaryota; Metazoa; Chordata; Mammalia; Artiodactyla; Bovidae
Rfam family: tRNA
About the family: Transfer RNA (tRNA) molecules are approximately 80 nucleotides in length. Their secondary structure includes four short double-helical elements and three loops (D, anti-codon, and T loops).
Source: Rfam by way of RNAcentral